CCGUUGCCGGCGACCGCGCACGGGUGAGUAACACGUAUGCAACCUGCCCGUGGCAGGGGGAUAAGCGGGGGAAACCCCGUCUAAUACCGCGUAACGCGGCCUAGGGACAUCCCAAGGCCGCCAAAGGGAGCAAUCCCGGCCACGGAUGGGCAUGCGGCGCAUUAGCUAGUCGGCGGGGUAACGGCCCACCGAGGCGACGAUGCGUAGGGGUUCUGAGAGGAAGGCCCCCCACACUGGUACUGAGACACGGACCAGACUCCUACGGGAGGCAGCAG
This 275-nucleotide ribosomal RNA is filed under the name uncultured bacterium. RNAcentral describes it as "partial 16S ribosomal RNA". It matches the Rfam family "Bacterial small subunit ribosomal RNA", at positions 83 to 354 of the family's 1533-position model. The record is from RNAcentral.